This is a non-coding RNA of Pelobates cultripes (western spadefoot toad), 209 nucleotides long. Lineage: Eukaryota; Metazoa; Chordata; Amphibia; Anura; Pelobatidae. The record is from the annotation of a GenBank genome assembly.
CAUGAUCUCAAGUCUAUGUUCCUGUUUCCCUCUCAAGCAUCACUCUUCUCGUCUGGCAUCCUGAAUCCCUCAUCUGGUUCCUUCAGUUCCGGUUCCUAUUUGUUCGCAGCCAGAAAGAGGUAAUGACAUCACUGGGAGGGACCUAUAUACCUUGUUAUUCCUUUUUUCUGAUUGGUUACCUUGUUACUAAGUAAAAAAGUGCUGCUGUG